This 463-nucleotide ribosomal RNA is filed under the name uncultured bacterium. RNAcentral describes it as "partial 16S ribosomal RNA". It matches the Rfam family "Bacterial small subunit ribosomal RNA", at positions 28 to 507 of the family's 1533-position model. The record is from RNAcentral.
GACGAACGCUGGCGGCGUGCCUAACACAUGCAAGUCGAGCGGGGGGAGUUCUUCGGAACGAACCUAGCGGCGGACGGGGGGGUAACACGUGGGAAACCUGCCUGGGGGGGGGGAAAAAAAGGAUGAAAGUCCUGCAAAUACCGAAAAACCGGGGGCUGCCGCAGGAUGGCAUCGGCAAGGGAGCAAUCCGCCUCAAGAUGGGCCCGCGGCGCAUUAGCUAGUUGGUGGGGUAACGGCCUACCAAGGCGACGAUGCGUAGCCGACCUGGGAGGGUGAUCGGCCACAUUGGAACUGAGACACGGUCCAGACUCCUACGGGAGGCAGCAGUGGGGAAUAUUGCACAAUGGGCGAAAGCCUGAUGCAGCAACGCCGCGUGAGCGAUGAAGGCCUUCGGGUUGUAAAGCUCUGUCUUCGCUGACGAAAUCUGACGGUAAGCGAGGAGAAAGCCACGGCUAACUACGUG